RNAcentral lists this transfer RNA (56 nucleotides) under Aspiculuris tetraptera. RNAcentral's name for it is "tRNA-Val". The record is from RNAcentral. Lineage: Eukaryota; Metazoa; Nematoda; Chromadorea; Rhabditida; Heteroxynematidae.
GAACUUUUAGUUUAUUUUGAAUUUUUCGUUUACAACGAGAGGGUUUUUAAAGUUCU